Molecule: ribosomal RNA, 438 nt
Filed under: Euplica scripta
Lineage: Eukaryota; Metazoa; Mollusca; Gastropoda; Neogastropoda; Columbellidae
Description: partial 12S ribosomal RNA
Source: RNAcentral
UAAAGCUUCAAACUGGGAUUAGAUACCCCACUAUUCAUAUAUUGUAAAUGAAUUAGAUUUACCAGAGUACUAUGAAUGGAUUAUAAUUUAAAACUCAAAGGGCUUGGCGGUGUUUUAGACCAAUUAGGGGAACCUGUCUCAUAAUCGACAAUCCACGUUAGACCUGACCUUUUUUAGUAGACAGUUUGUAUACCGUCGUCGUCAGGUAACUUUUUAAAAUAUAGAAGUUAGCAAAAAUAAUAAUGUUAAUUAAGACGUCAGAUCAAGGUGCAGUUUAUAAAGAGGAGAGGAUGGGUUACAAUUAUAGAUUUAUAAUACGGACAAUUUAAUGAAAAAAUUUUCAAGGAGGACUUAAAAGUAAUAACGUAAUAUAUAGAUGGCUUGAAUAAGGCUCUGAAACGUGCACACACCGCCCGUCACCCUCUGCAGUCAAAAAAA